Molecule: ribosomal RNA, 57 nt
Filed under: Clostridioides difficile
Lineage: Bacteria; Bacillati; Bacillota; Clostridia; Peptostreptococcales; Peptostreptococcaceae
Source: RNAcentral
UGUGGUUACAAUAGCAGAGAGGAUACACCUGUUCCCAUUCCGAACACAGAAGUUAAG